CUAAAGGCUCUUUUCAGAGCCACCCACUCUUUCUAGAAAGAACUGG
This is a non-coding RNA of Fukomys damarensis (Damara mole-rat), 46 nucleotides long. The record is from Rfam. Lineage: Eukaryota; Metazoa; Chordata; Mammalia; Rodentia; Bathyergidae.